This 357-nucleotide transfer-messenger RNA is filed under the name Dehalococcoidia. Its description in RNAcentral is "SURF-43 sp004297315 Standard tmRNA". It matches the Rfam family "transfer-messenger RNA". Rfam says of the family: Bacterial tmRNA, also known as 10Sa RNA or SsrA, is named for its dual tRNA and mRNA-like properties. Its role is to liberate the mRNA from a stalled ribosome. The record is from RNAcentral. Lineage: Bacteria; Bacillati; Chloroflexota. RNAcentral also lists the same sequence under 1 other name.
GGGGACGACAGGACUCGACAGGCGUAACCGGGUGCGGAUUGCGGGCCGAGGUGUCGUCACCCUCGUAAAACCGGCGGCAAAAAAGUAACUGGCGACCGACAACUCGCCCUCGCGGCCUAACUAAGCCGUGACGUGGCCGGCCACCUCGCCCCGACGGGUGGCCGAACCGCGACGCAAUGCCGGGGUGCUGCGGAAUGCUGCGUCUCAGGACGCUCCGCCUAAGACUACUGAGACUGGCCGGAACCACCUGCCGCCAUAGGAGGGGCCCGGCGAGAUGAACUCCUGGUGGCUACGCCCGUAGACGUCCGUAUCAGGUCCGCUCUGGACGGGGAGUUCGAUUCUCCCCCGUCUCCACCA